Molecule: transfer RNA, 55 nt
Filed under: Gnathostoma nipponicum
Lineage: Eukaryota; Metazoa; Nematoda; Chromadorea; Rhabditida; Gnathostomatidae
Description: tRNA-His
Source: RNAcentral
AGCUUUGUAGUUUAUAUAAAAUUUUUGUUUGUGGGACAAAGGAAGAGAAGCUUUA